Molecule: ribosomal RNA, 550 nt
Filed under: Meyerozyma caribbica
Lineage: Eukaryota; Fungi; Ascomycota; Pichiomycetes; Serinales; Debaryomycetaceae
Description: LSU rRNA
Rfam family: Eukaryotic large subunit ribosomal RNA
Source: RNAcentral
CCAACAGGGAUUGCCUUAGUAGCGGCGAGUGAAGCGGCAAAAGCUCAAAUUUGAAAUCUGGCACCUUCGGUGUCCGAGUUGUAAUUUGAAGAUUGUAACCUUGGGGUUGGCUCUUGUCUAUGUUUCUUGGAACAGGACGUCACAGAGGGUGAGAAUCCCGUGCGAUGAGAUGCCCAAUCCUAUGUAAGGUGCUUUCGAAGAGUCGAGUUGUUUGGGAAUGCAGCUCUAAGUGGGUGGUAAAUUCCAUCUAAAAGCUAAAUAUUGGCGAGAGACCGAUAGCGAACAAGUACAGUGAUGGAAAGAUGAAAAGAACUUUGAAAAGAGAGUGAAAAAGUACGUGAAAUUGUUGAAAGGGAAGGGUUUGAGAUCAGACUCGAUAUUUUGUGAGCCUUGCCUUCGUGGCGGGGUGACCCGCAGCUUAUCGGGCCAGCAUCGGUUUGGGCGGUAGGAUAAUGGCGUAGGAAUGUGACUUUGCUUCGGUGAAGUGUUAUAGCCUGCGNUGAUGCUGCCUGCCUAGAUCCGAGGACUGCGAUUUUAUCAAGGAUGCUGG